This is a non-coding RNA of Misgurnus anguillicaudatus (oriental weatherfish), 803 nucleotides long. The record is from RefSeq and is a predicted model, not a curated record. Lineage: Eukaryota; Metazoa; Chordata; Actinopteri; Cypriniformes; Cobitidae.
CACACACACACACACACACACACACCUUUUGAAGAGUCGGAAGGCCCCGUUGAUCCGGCGAUGGCUGGAAGCGAGCGGAAAGAGUGCGGGGCAGAAAAAGACGAAAGGAAGGAAGUGCAGUGGUUUUGGGAAGAAACGCUAAGAACGAGAUGGAGUGUUCGAGUACUGCGGUGGGGUGAACAGGCAGUGGCAUCUUGUGGAUUCGCUAACCGAAUGUGACGAUUGGAAACGAAUACCAAGCAGGUUUGAGAAAAAACGGAGUCUGAGGAGAAGCAUACUUACCAGUUGUGUGUGUUAUAUUGAAGGCUUUAUGGGAAGACGAUACCAGGGCGAAAUCAAAGCAUCACUUCCGGGCAUCUGGCAAGUUGUCGGAGAGGAGAGAGAAACGGAAAAGGAGGAUUUUUACUAGAACAGGCCACCGUAAGCGGCCCCACCGUGGAUGACGAGACGGGUGGGUGAGCCGAAGCAUAGCAGGGCAGACGGAUGUUAUUUGUGGUGGCAACAACGCCAGCUGGAUCACUGACCGUGCCAGCGACCGCAAUCCCCUCUAGGGCAGAUCCCGACCAGGCGUGGAGUACCGACCUUAUAAAGUCACUGAAGUGUGUGUAGUGCAGUGGGUGAGUCUGUCCUUGACGUGUGUGCACCUGAAGUCUUGCAGUGUUGUGCUGUGUCUCUUGCUGUCUGUACUCACCCUCCAGGUCGAGAGGAGCCCUGCUGGAGAAAUCGUAAGCUGCCGCGGUGGUUGCCAUCUAUUCUAUACCUGCCUGCUUAUAACCCCGGCCCCUGUGUUCCCCUGCCCGAAG